UCCCUGGUGGCUAAACGGUAAAGCAUCUGCCUGCAACGCAGGAGACCCAGGUUCGAUUCCUGGGUUGGGAA
Molecule: transfer RNA, 71 nt
Filed under: Bos taurus (domestic cattle)
Lineage: Eukaryota; Metazoa; Chordata; Mammalia; Artiodactyla; Bovidae
Also listed under: 4 other names
Rfam family: tRNA
About the family: Transfer RNA (tRNA) molecules are approximately 80 nucleotides in length.
Source: Rfam by way of RNAcentral